Molecule: ribosomal RNA, 244 nt
Filed under: uncultured bacterium
Lineage: Bacteria
Description: partial 16S ribosomal RNA
Rfam family: Bacterial small subunit ribosomal RNA
Source: RNAcentral
UAGUCCACGCCGUAAACGUUGGGCGCUAGGUGUGGGGGCCAUUCCACGGUCUCCGUGCCGCAGCUAACGCAUUAAGCGCCCCGCCUGGGGAGUACGGCCGCAAGGCUAAAACUCAAAGGAAUUGACGGGGGCCCGCACAAGCGGCGGAGCAUGUUGCUUAAUUCGAUGCAACGCGAAGAACCUUACCUAGGCUUGACAUGCACGGAAAUCUCGCAGAGAUGCGGGGUCCGUAAGGGCCGUGCAC